Long non-coding RNA from Grammomys surdaster, 450 nucleotides. RefSeq lists it as uncharacterized. NCBI's taxonomy places the organism in Eukaryota, Metazoa, Chordata, Mammalia, Rodentia, Muridae. The record is from RefSeq and is a predicted model, not a curated record. The transcript has 3 exons.
AAAACGUGGGUCAGGAGAAAGAGAAAGAGACUCAGCAAAGAAUCUGGGCACCGACCUACCUAGAAUAACCAGAAACUCAAACAGAAAGAAGAGAUAGGGUCAAGAACCCAGUGUGCUGGCACAGGGAGACUUGGAUGAGAAGCUUCAGAGCUUUGCAAGCCAGGCUGUCAUCACACCAUGAUGGAAAACAUAGUCCAUCAUCUGAAAUCUUCAGAACUGGAAACUGACCACCAGGAAAUGGGCAUGUGGUGGUGAAAUGGCUGACCAUCCAGAAAUGAGACAACAUUGCUUCCACCCCUCCACCAAGGGAUGUUCCAACCAUCGCGGAGCGUCACCACAGAAACAUAUGCCGGUGUUCUCACCAGGGCUUCCUUAUGGUGCAAACAGAUGGGGAAGGUAAGACUAGGAGGGACUGAAGCCUGUUGAAGUUUGGUCUGCUGGUAUGUACUG